This 253-nucleotide ribosomal RNA is filed under the name uncultured bacterium. Its description in RNAcentral is "partial 16S ribosomal RNA". It matches the Rfam family "Bacterial small subunit ribosomal RNA", at positions 524 to 776 of the family's 1533-position model. The record is from RNAcentral.
AACGUAGGAGACGAACGUUAUCCGGAGUUACUGGGCGUAAAGGGCGUGCAGGCGGUCUGAUAAGUUCGGCGUGAAAUAUUCCGGCUUAACCGGGAUAGGUCGUCGGAGACUGUCGGACUAGAGGGUGAUAGAGGCGUGUGGAAUUCCGGGUGUAGUGGUGAAAUACGUAGAGAUCCGGAGGAACACCAGUGGCGAAGGCGACACGCUGGGUCACACCUGACGCUAAAGCGCGACAGCAUGGGGAGCGAACGGG